RNAcentral lists this transfer RNA (63 nucleotides) under Fukomys damarensis (Damara mole-rat). It matches the Rfam family "tRNA", at positions 1 to 62 of the family's 71-position model. From Rfam's summary of the family: Transfer RNA (tRNA) molecules are approximately 80 nucleotides in length. Their secondary structure includes four short double-helical elements and three loops (D, anti-codon, and T loops). The record is from Rfam by way of RNAcentral. Lineage: Eukaryota; Metazoa; Chordata; Mammalia; Rodentia; Bathyergidae.
GGGGAUUUAGCUUAGUGGCACUGCACCUGCCUUGUAAGCAGAAGAUCCUGAGUUCAAUCCCCA